CUUAUCCUACAUAUACAAGAUAAUUUUAGUCACUUCCCUUACCUAGUCUCGUAUGGUUUUUGUUUCCGAGAGCACCAAGAAGUCUUCCCAUUUUUUAUACUCUGUACUCGGUUCUAUUUUUUCCUAGAAAACGUCUUUUCUCUCCCUUAUAUUUCUAAUUUUCGUUUUUUCCUUUUAAAGUAACAAAAUGCCAACCCCUUUUAUUCUUCUCCUUCUU
Molecule: long non-coding RNA, 217 nt
Filed under: Vigna radiata
Lineage: Eukaryota; Viridiplantae; Streptophyta; Magnoliopsida; Fabales; Fabaceae
Description: long non-coding RNA (VRAD_LNC004252)
Source: RNAcentral